GGCGGUGUUUGGUACACAGAGGGUGGGUUCGACUCCCACACAAUCAAAAUAUUGUAACCGUGGUGGAAAGUAAGAGAGUGCCGGUUCGAAUCCGGCCGCCGCCA
This 104-nucleotide transfer RNA is filed under the name Anaerocolumna aminovalerica. RNAcentral's name for it is "tRNA-OTHER". Lineage: Bacteria; Bacillati; Bacillota; Clostridia; Lachnospirales; Lachnospiraceae. The record is from RNAcentral.